CCGAGAAUAUUCGACAAUGGGCGAAAGCCUGAUCGAGCGACGCCGCGUGAUGGAUGAAGACCCUCUGGGUCGUAAACAUCUUUUAUGAGGGAGAAAGUUUAUUGAUAGUACCUCAAGAAUAAGGGGUUUCUAAACUCGUGCCAGCAGAAGCGGUAAUACGAGUGCCCCGAGCGUUAUCCGGAAUCAUUGGGCGUAAAGGGUGUGUAGGUGGUUAUGUUAGUCAGUUGUUAAAACCCGAAGCUUAACUUCGGAAUCGCGAUUGAAACGGCAUAACUAGAGGAUGGCAGGGAUAAGUGGAACUCAUGGAGUAGGGGUGAAAUCCGUUGAUAUCAUGGGGAACACCGAAAGCGAAGGCAGCUUAUUGGGCCAUUCCUGACACUGAAACACGAAAGCGUGGGUAGCGAAUGGGAUUAGAUACCCCCGUAGUCC
This 429-nucleotide ribosomal RNA is filed under the name uncultured bacterium. RNAcentral describes it as "bacterial SSU rRNA". It matches the Rfam family "Bacterial small subunit ribosomal RNA", at positions 355 to 796 of the family's 1533-position model. The record is from RNAcentral.